This 575-nucleotide ribosomal RNA is filed under the name Meyerozyma guilliermondii. Its description in RNAcentral is "partial large subunit ribosomal RNA". It matches the Rfam family "Eukaryotic large subunit ribosomal RNA", at positions 75 to 666 of the family's 3401-position model. Lineage: Eukaryota; Fungi; Ascomycota; Pichiomycetes; Serinales; Debaryomycetaceae. The record is from RNAcentral.
UUGCCUUAGUAGCGGCGAGUGAAGCGGCAAAAGCUCAAAUUUGAAAUCUGGCACCUUCGGUGUCCGAGUUGUAAUUUGAAGAUUGUAACCUUGGGGUUGGCUCUUGUCUAUGUUUCUUGGAACAGGACGUCACAGAGGGUGAGAAUCCCGUGCGAUGAGAUGCCCAAUCCUAUGUAAGGUGCUUUCGAAGAGUCGAGUUGUUUGGGAAUGCAGCUCUAAGUGGGUGGUAAAUUCCAUCUAAAGCUAAAUAUUGGCGAGAGACCGAUAGCGAACAAGUACAGUGAUGGAAAGAUGAAAAGAACUUUGAAAAGAGAGUGAAAAAGUACGUGAAAUUGUUGAAAGGGAAGGGUUUGAGAUCAGACUCGAUAUUUUGUGAGCCUUGCCUUCGUGGCGGGGUGACCCGCAGCUUAUCGGGCCAGCAUCGGUUUGGGCGGUAGGAUAAUGGCGUAGGAAUGUGACUUUGCUUCGGUGAAGUGUUAUAGCCUGCGUUGAUGCUGCCUGCCUAGACCGAGGACUGCGAUUUUAUCAAGGAUGCUGGCAUAAUGAUCCCAAACCGCCCGUCUUGAAACACGGAC